Molecule: ribosomal RNA, 999 nt
Filed under: Robbsia andropogonis
Lineage: Bacteria; Pseudomonadati; Pseudomonadota; Betaproteobacteria; Burkholderiales; Burkholderiaceae
Description: bacterial SSU rRNA
Rfam family: Bacterial small subunit ribosomal RNA
Source: RNAcentral
AGGGGGGGGCAUGCCUUACCAUGCAAGUCGAACGGUAACAGGGAGCUUGCUCCGCUGACGAGUGGCGAACGGGUGAGUAAUACAUCGGAACGUGUCCUGUAGUGGGGGAUAGCCCGGCGAAAGCCGGAUUAAUACCGCAUACGAUCUAAGGAUGAAAGCGGGGGAUCUUCGGACCUCGCGCUAUAGGGGCGGCCGAUGGCAGAUUAGCUAGUUGGUGGGGUAAAGGCCUACCAAGGCGACGAUCUGUAGCUGGUCUGAGAGGACGACCAGCCACACUGGGACUGAGACACGGCCCAGACUCCUACGGGAGGCAGCAGUGGGGAAUUUUGGACAAUGGGCGCAAGCCUGAUCCAGCAAUGCCGCGUGUGUGAAGAAGGCCUUCGGGUUGUAAAGCACUUUUGUUCGGGAAGAAAAGGCGAGGGCUAAUAUCCUUUGCUGAUGACGGUACCGGAAGAAUAAGCACCGGCUAACUACGUGCCAGCAGCCGCGGUAAUACGUAGGGUGCAAGCGUUAAUCGGAAUUACUGGGCGUAAAGCGUGCGCAGGCGGUUUGUUAAGACAGAUGUGAAAUCCCCGGGCUUAACCUGGGAACUGCAUUUGUGACUGGCAGGCUAGAGUGUGGCAGAGGGGGGUGGAAUUCCGCGUGUAGCAGUGAAAUGCGUAGAUAUGCGGAGGAACAUCGAUGGCGAAGGCAGCCCCCUGGGCCAACACUGACGCUCAUGCACGAAAGCGUGGGGAGCAAACAGGAUUAGAUACCCUGGUAGUCCACGCCCUAAACGAUGUCAACUAGUUGUUGGGGAUUCAUUUCCUUAGUAACGUAGCUAACGCGUGAAGUUGACCGCCUGGGGAGUACGGUCGCAAGAUUAAAACUCAAAGGAAUUGACGGGGACCCGCACAAGCGGUGGAUGAUGUGGAUUAAUUCGAUGCAACGCGAAAAACCUUACCUACCCUUGACAUGGUCGGAACCCUUGAGAGAUCAGGGGGUGCUCGAAAGAGAACC